AUUUUGGUUGAGAGUAAACGGAUUUGUAUACAAGUUGUGAUGAGUAUAGGAAAGUUGUGGGCUAGUUGUAGCAGCUGGGGUUGGAUUCAGAGAUGGAGAAUGGGGAUGAAGAGGAUUAUUAUCGAACUUGACCCAGCCAGUGAAGAAAUUGGAGUAAGGGUCAGCCAUGGUUGAAAAGGUGUGAGAGGAAUAGUUCUGCUUGAUGGAGAGAGAGAGAGAGAGAGAGAGAGAGAGAGUACAAGAUGACUGAAGAGAGUUUGGAUUGUGGAAGAGAGCAGAGAGAGAGAGAGAGAGAGAG
Molecule: unclassified non-coding RNA, 298 nt
Filed under: Hevea brasiliensis (rubber tree)
Lineage: Eukaryota; Viridiplantae; Streptophyta; Magnoliopsida; Malpighiales; Euphorbiaceae
Source: RNAcentral